Esox lucius (northern pike) is the source of this 4425-nucleotide long non-coding RNA. The record is from Ensembl. NCBI's taxonomy places the organism in Eukaryota, Metazoa, Chordata, Actinopteri, Esociformes, Esocidae.
UUUUUAUUGAUUCAUUAUUAACACUUUAUUAAUGCUUUAUUAAUGCUUGCCGGCAUAUAUAUUGAAAUAUCCUCAAGUAAUUGUUUGCAAAACAUUGAAACAGUGGAAGAGUAUUUAUACUACACAUACAGUGAAACAAAAUGAGUUGCCCAUGGGGGGAGAAAAUUCUAAUAAUUUUGUCCAGAGACAGGCUUGUCAAAAACACUCUAGUCCUCUCCAGAAGAUAGAAUAAACAUUUUUGGACCAGUACAUUGGUGUGAAAACACUUCUAAACAUAACCAACAUUUUCAGACAUAGUGACAGGAGCAAUUAUGAUUAUCAACCUUGCUUAAGUACAAAAUUACAAAUGUUUCCUGGCUUGAGAUUUCAACUAAUAGGCUAUCUGGUUACUGGUCUGGUUACUGGCCAGAUGUUCUAAUCACUAGCCAGUGUGGUUACUGAUUAAAUACUCUAACCCACAGGCAAUCUGGUUACUGGUCAGAUAGGCUGCGAGUUAAAGUAUCUAGUUACUGGUCAGAAAGGCUGUGAAUUAAAGUAUCUAGUUACUGGUCAGAUGUUUUGCCACUGAGACUUUCAAAAAUAGAUAUGGUGAACCUGAUUAAACAAAUAAUACAAAAUUAAUUGUCCAUUCUUAAUUGAUCAAAUUGACUCAACAUCCAAUGUAUUUUUGAAAAGGGUGUAGACCUCUACAUUAACCAGCCAGAUUAAAGAUUAAAGUAACAUUUUCGAAAGAUAAAGUGCACGAUUUCUGGCAACAGGUUGUCAAAUUGCCACUGUCGAGCCAAGAAUUGUCCGUGAACAUUUUCUACUAUUGUCAUGUACUUGCUGAUUUGUGCCCCAUGUCAUCAAGAUCAUUUCAAACUUGGAAUGUAAAAGCUAACUGAGGCAUGGUAGGAAUUCUUCUACAAAUUACACACAUAUAAACAACAUAUUACAUGCUUUUUGUUAAUCGCAAAACUCCCAGACUGAAUCUUAAGGGGAGGGUCUGUAACCUUCUCACUUAUAUUUAUUCACAAUAUUUUGAUGAUCCUUAACCAUGGUGUCAUCUAUAAAAGGUUUUUUAAGUAUUCAGAAACAUCUUCAGUGUUCAGUGAUUCCAAAAUGGCAAAAUAAAUGUUUCAACAUUCAGUUCAGCUUGAUAUCGUAAUUGCACAAAACAAAUAUGGGACAAACAUAGGACUAAUCGUAUUUAGCUGAUUCAUUUAGAGAUUCAAACACUAUGCAGGACAGUUGUUUUUUAUUCAACAUUUAUAUGAAAUACAGAAAAUAACAUAUUCAACUAAGAAAUUCCGAAAAUGGUAUUCUCUAAAUUUCUCUUAAAACUGUACCCCAUUUCAGCCACACAAAACAAAUCUAGAUUUAUGGCAUUUGUAAAUGAGCUAGUGACAGCAUUUUCUAGAUCUUACACAAUGUUAUAGCUAAACCUUCCUUACGUAGGGAAGACGAGCUUUACAGAAAACAUCCCUGUUCAAAGUGUGAACUGGCGGUGCAGCUCACCCCCCUCCCCGCCCUCUCAGGCCAGGCCGCCUCCGUGUUUGCUCAUCUAAUUACAGGGGAGUGGCUGACUGACGGGCCAGCCGUCCCAAAAAAACCCUCCAGGCUAGGGGCUGGGAACGCAACAAACACCCACCCAGCACUGUCUCCAAAAUGUGACGGCAGCAACGUCCAACUGUCAUGGGGGAGCCUUGACUGGCAAAACGCGAAGGCCCAAAGAGAGAUAUUAAAGACAUGAGAGGAAUUGGCAGCGUCGGCACUAACAGGGGGUACACUUGAGAAGUCGAAGCAGGGAGCUGUGGGCAUCGCCAAAGUGUCAGUCAAAGGAAAGUGGGGUUUGGAAAAGGCACAAACACAGACUGACUCACACAGGAGCACUUUUCUCUUUCACUCUCCUAAAAGACAAUAUAUUCAGAAAGGGUAGAGAAGGAAAACCAACAAGGAAAUAGUUUACUGUUAUUGUAUUUCAGACCACAAAGUAUAAAGAUAAGAAGUGUGUCAGUGAGUGUUUGUGUGUGUGUGUGUGUGUGUGUGUGUGUGUGUGUGAGUGUGUGCUCACCUUUCUCACAGGGAGGUAUAAUCCACUGGGGGUUUAAAUGCUCCACUGCUGUCAGGAGGCCUGACAGAAUACCUCAGGGAGCCUGGUAGCUGACCCCCAUCCAUAUUCAGGUCUGACAAACAAAACAGACCUGCACAGGAGGUUAACAUGGAAAAACCACCACUUAACUGGCUCUCUCUCCCAAGGCCUGAGAUCUCAUCAAUCCCUCUAACACUCACCUCACCCUGAGAGGCAAGACAAGAAACCAUUUGAUAGGAAUCAUGAAUAAUCACAGUUGUGCAAGCGCGCUGUGCCCAUUUCUUAAAUGCAUUAUGGGGAUUACACACAAAAUCACACAAUGUAACAUUUUCAAAUGUGUUAUGAAUGCUUCCCGGAAUCCAAUUCAAAUCCUAGGUUACCAAAUAAGCCUGAACAAAUCCUCCACAUUGAGUUUUUACUCCUUUGAACUCUGUAACGGAGAGGUCCAGUCUGCAGGGCAGGUUUUACCAUGCCAGGCACAGACAGACCCCUCAACCCCAGGAUAGAGAUUGGGCUAGCCUAACACUGGGAGGGUGGGGGAGAGAGAGGGCUAGCCUAACACUGGGAGGGUGGGGGAGAGAGAGGGCUUGCCUAACAGUUGGAGGAUGGGGGAGAGAGAGGACUAGCCUAACACUGGGAGGGUGGGGGAGAGAGAGGUCUAGCUUAGCACUGGGAGGGUGGGGGAGAGAGAGGUCUAGUCUAACACUGGGAGGGUGGGGGAGAGAGAGGUCUAGUCUAACACUGGGAGGGUGGGGGAGAGAGAGGUCUAGCUUAGCACUGGGAGGGUGGGGGAGAGAGAGGUCUAGUCUAACACUGGGAGGGUGGGGGAGAGAGAGGUCUAGCUUAGCACUGGGAGGGUGGGGGAGAGAGAGGUCUAGUCUAACACUGGGAGGGUGGGGGAGAGAGAGGUCUAGCCUAACACUAGGAGGGUGGGGGAGAGAGGUCUAGCCUAACACUGGGAGGGUGGGGGAGAGAGAGGUCUAACCUAGCACUGGGAGGGUGGGGGGGAGGUCUAGCCCUAGCACUGGGAGGGUGGGGGAGAGAGAGGGCUAGCCUAGCACAGGUAGGGUGGGGGAGAGAUGGCUAAGAUUGCACAGGGUGGUUGGGUUAGAGCGAGGGCUAGCCUAACACUGGGAGGAUGGGGGAAAGAGAGGGCCUCACUUAGAAAGUGAGUUACUUGAGAGAGAAAAAGAUAGGAAGAGAAAAUAAGAGUGAGUGAGAGAGAGAACUAGCAUGCCCUGUACAUGUAUGCUCAGGUCCACAGGAUGGCUGGUUGCAGAAGGUACUGCUGCUUGGCAGUUAAGUAAGCAAAGAUAUAUUUAUUUUCACACUGCUUUUGGCUGGAGGGUAAGUCAGCCUUACUAUUAGUCAACCAGGUUGUUGUAAAACCAAACACACGAGUUUGAGUACAAUGGACUUGAUGCAUGAAUAGCAUUAAAAAUAUUGGCAUGACAUAUCAUCAAUUAAAAUCAUUUUAAUAUAACAUCUUAACACUCAUGAGUCACACUCAAGAGCGAAUAUUGAGGCAUUGCUCCUACAGUGACCUUAUGAACAGAAACAAAGUAUGAAUCUGGCUUCACCUUGAGUUUUAUUUUUUAUCCUGUAUAAUUUGUCCUUGUUGGAUUUCCACGGGUCUUGACUUUGCUCCCUCAUUUAGAUGGUCUGAAGGAGAGUCUAUUAAAUUGAUUCCAUGUGUUUGUUGCAGAGGCUCUGUGCAAACAAAAGACAAACAAUUACAGCACUGAUUAAUAGGCAUGCAAUAUUACGGCUGGAGCCACCUCAGCACACACUGAGCCCACAAACAUAUACUGUAUCGCCUCAGUGACUACCCAGCUUUAUGGAGGAGAAUACCAUUCUAUAAGUCUAAUACCCAUACAGUCAUGACUAUUACAGUGCUACCAUUUUAUGAGAAUGUUAUCAUAGAUAGCAGAUUUCUGAGAUAAGUCAAUACAGUAACCAAGUGAGAACACCAAUGCUGAUACAAUUGGGGGGGUUUUUCGACUUAAAUUUCAGCCCUAGAAAUGAAAUAUGCUCUAGAUGACUAAGUAUAUAUAAGACUCCGGGAAUUAUAAAACAACAAACAACAGAUACAACUUUUCAAGAGCAUACCUUAGUACCAGUAGUCUAGAUCAUUAUACCUAUCAAAUUUUAGCCAUGUUUUCAUCCUAUCACUACCCAUCUGUUCACACUCAUUGAAAACCCCACAUCAAAUCCUGAAUAAAUAUGGUAGAUAACAGUUUGCAGAUAGUAGAACUUCAACAACAGACAGUUUGUGAUUCUAUACAAUAUGAUUAUUAUGCAAAAUAGUAAAUAGACUCAUAUAUUUAGUACAUUAAUAAAAUAAAAGCAAUCGC